UCCUUUAUUACUUAGGACUAGAGAGUUGUUGCGGUAGGCGGAAUGUGUAGUGUAGCGGGAAUGCUUAGAGAUUACCCAGACACCGAUUGGGAAAGCAGCUUACCAAGCUAUAUCUGACGUGAGGCACGAAAGCGUGGGGAGCAAACAGGAUUAGAUACCCUGGUAGUCCACGCAGUAAACGAUGAUAGCUCGUGUCAGCGAUACAAUGUUGGUGACUAAGAGAAAUCGAUAAGCUAUCCACCUGGGGAGUACGUUCGCAAGAAUGAAACUCAAAGGAAUUGACGGGGGCCCGCACAAGCGGAGGAACAUGUGGUUUAAUUCGAUGAUACGCGAGGAACCUUACCCGGGCUUGAAAGUUAGUGACGGAUCUGGAAACAGGUCUUCCCUUCGGGGCACGAAACUAGGUGCUGCAUGGUUGUCGUCAGCUCGUGCCGUGAGGUGUCGGGUUAAGUCCCAUAACGAGCGCAACCCCUACCGUUAGUUGCCAUCAGGUCAAGCUGGGCACUCUGGCGGGACUGCCGGUGUAAGCCGAGAGGAAGGUGGGGAUGACGUCAAAUCAGCACGGCCCUUACGUCCGGGGCGACACACGUGUUACAAUGGUAGGUACAGAGGGCAGCUACCCUGCGAAGGGAUGCGAAUCUCGAAAGCCUAUCUCAGUUCGGAUUGGAGGCUGAAACUCGCCUCCAUGAAGUUGGAUUCGCUAGUAAUCGCGCAUCAGCCAUGGCGCGGUGAAUACGUUCCCGGGCCUUGUACACACCGCCCGUCAAGCCAUGGGAGCUGGGGGUGCCUGAAGACCGUGACCGCAAGGAGCGGUUUAGGGCAAAACCGGUGACUGGGGCUAAGUCGUAACAAGGUAGCCG
RNAcentral lists this ribosomal RNA (860 nucleotides) under uncultured Alistipes sp. RNAcentral's name for it is "bacterial SSU rRNA". It matches the Rfam family "Bacterial small subunit ribosomal RNA", at positions 623 to 1502 of the family's 1533-position model. The record is from RNAcentral. Lineage: Bacteria; Pseudomonadati; Bacteroidota; Bacteroidia; Bacteroidales; Rikenellaceae.